CCCGUAAUGUAUCCAGGGCUGGAGGGGGAGGUAACUCGUAUGACCGUAGUGUACCCAGUGGGAUGAGGGAGGUAACUCGUAUGACCGUAGUGUACCCAGAGUGGGUAGGGAGGUAACUCGUAUGACCGUAGUGUACCCAGUGGGAUGAGGGAGGUUACUCGGAUGACCGUAGUCUACCCAGAUUGGGUAGGGAGGUAACUGGUAUGACUGUAGUGUACUGAGAGUUGGGAGGGAGGUAACUCGUAUGACCAUGGUGUACCGAGAGUGGGGAGGGAGGUAACUCGUAUGACCGUAGUGUACCCAGAUUGGGUAGGGAGGUAACUCGUAUGACCGUAGUGUACCCAGAUUGGGGAGGGAGGAAACUCGUAUGACCAUAGUGUACUGAGAGUGGGGAGGGAGGUAACUCGUAUGACCAUAGUGUACCCAGAGUGGGGAGGGAGGUAACUCGUAUGACCGUAGUGUACCCAGAGGGAUGAGGGAGGUAACUCGUAUGACCGUAG
This is a long non-coding RNA of Haliotis rubra (blacklip abalone), 500 nucleotides long. RefSeq lists it as uncharacterized. The transcript has 3 exons. Lineage: Eukaryota; Metazoa; Mollusca; Gastropoda; Lepetellida; Haliotidae. The record is from RefSeq and is a predicted model, not a curated record.